UACAGAGGGGGCAAGCGUUGUUCGGAAUUACUGGGCGUAAAGGGCGCGUAGGCGGCCUGUUAAGUCGAACGUGAAAUCCCCGGGCUCAACCCGGGAACUGCGUCCGAAACUGGCAGGCUCGAAUUCGGGAGAGGGAUGCGGAAUUCCAGGUGUAGCGGUGAAAUGCGUAGAUAUCUGGAGGAACAUCGGUGGCGAAGGCAGCAUCCUGGACCGAUAUUGACGCUGAGGCGCGAAAGCCAGGGGAGCGAACGGG
RNAcentral lists this ribosomal RNA (253 nucleotides) under uncultured bacterium. RNAcentral describes it as "partial 16S ribosomal RNA". It matches the Rfam family "Bacterial small subunit ribosomal RNA", at positions 524 to 776 of the family's 1533-position model. The record is from RNAcentral.